This 497-nucleotide ribosomal RNA is filed under the name uncultured bacterium. RNAcentral's name for it is "partial 16S ribosomal RNA". It matches the Rfam family "Bacterial small subunit ribosomal RNA", at positions 28 to 507 of the family's 1533-position model. The record is from RNAcentral.
GAUGAACGCUGGCGGCGUGCCUAAUACAUGCAAGUCGAGCGAACGGACGAGAAGCUUGCUUCUCUGACGUUAGCGGCGGACGGGUGAGUAACACGUGGAUAACCUACCUAUAAGACUGAGAUAACUUCGGGAAACCGGAGCUAAUACCGGAUAAUAUUUUGAACCGCAUGGUUCAAAAGUGAAAGACGGUCUUGCGGUCACUUCUAGAUGGAUCCGCGCUGCAUUAGCUAGUUGGUAAGGUAACGGCUUACCAAGGCAACGAUGCAUAGCCGACCUGAGAGGGUGAUCGGCCACACUGGAACUGAGACACGGUCCAGACUCCUACGGGAGGCAGCAGUAGGGAAUCUUCCGCAAUGGGCGAAAGCCUGACGGAGCAACGCCGCGUGAGUGAUGAAGGUCUUCGGAGCGUAAAACUCUGUUAUGAGGGAAGAACAUAUGUGUAAGUAACUGUGCACAUCUUGACGGUAACUAAUCAGAAAGCCACGGCUAACUACGUG